UACGUAGGGUGCAAGCGUUGUCCGGAAUUAUUGGGCGUAAAGAGCUCGUAGGCGGUCUGUCGCGUCUGCUGUGAAAACUCGGGGCUUAACCCCGGGCCUGCAGUGGGUACGGGCAGACUAGAGUGCGGUAGGGGAGACUGGAAUUCCUGGUGUAGCGGUGAAAUGCGCAGAUAUCCGGAGGAACACCGGUGGCGAAGGCGGGUCGCUGGGCCGUAACUGACGCUGAGGAGCGAAAGCGUGGGGAGCGAACAGG
RNAcentral lists this ribosomal RNA (253 nucleotides) under uncultured bacterium. RNAcentral's name for it is "partial 16S ribosomal RNA". It matches the Rfam family "Bacterial small subunit ribosomal RNA", at positions 524 to 776 of the family's 1533-position model. The record is from RNAcentral.